AGAGCCGGGUCACGUGACUCUAGCACCUGUUACCAGACACGAGCUUCCACUCAGGAGGACUUCCCUGUUUGCUGAAGCGAGAACUGCUUGUGCAAAGCAAAGCCCUGGGCCACCACAGCUGGGGCAUCAGCACAAGUGUGCGGUGACACGGAGAGGGCAGGUGUGCGUGGAGAGCAGACAGUGAAUAUCAUACAACUAAAAUGUCUCAGGAGUUUAGAGCCAAACUGGCCCCUUGAGAAGCUUGUCCUGAUGCCCUGAGAUGUCCUCGGGCUUCAAGAAGAUGAAGAAGAAGGUGCCGAGGGUGGCACUAGAAGUGAAACAACCCUGGAAUGGAGGAUGAAGCCACAGAGGAAGCAAAAUUACAUGCAAACAUUUGUUCUGCAAACCCAAAGUGUGAAGAAAGUUGGGCUCAAAUACUAGAAACAAGCUCCCUGCCUCUGAAUUUCAAAAUCUUCUUCGUUUGCAUAAAGGCUCACAGAAGAGAUCGGCCUCUCAGCUGGUCUUCUCCCUUAAGGAUCGGCUUCUCACGUCAAGGAAAAUGACACAGACGACUCUAGUAAGGCUCCCUUGGGCCGCAGCCAGGAGAGCAGCCAGGCAGAACCUGGAAGACCAGCCCGGCCACCGGAGCUCAUGGGUGGGGUGCAGGGCUGGGACCAGGGUCACGGCAGUGGGUGGCAGGAGAACCAAGUCCUCGAUGUGCCCUGAAGCUCUGUGUCAAGCUCGUCCUUCUCUUCUGAUGUUUUGACACCCGGGGCAUUGCAGACCCUGGAGGACAGCCACCCACAGAGAGCCAGCAACUCACCCGAGAGCACGCCUUCCAUGGGCCCCCACCCAAGCCAGGGCCCACGCCGGCCACCUCCCCCACGCUCCUGCCUGCAGCCCCUGUCCCCACCCUAACUCCCACAGCAGGGACAGCCCCACCCCCAGAGCGGCUGACUGCUCACAGCGCCAUCCUCAGCCUGCUCACCUGGCUACUCCAUCCCUCCCGAGGAGACCACAGAAAGCUCAGCCCUCCCUGUCCUGAUUCCUCCUGGGGAGCUCGUGGGAUGUGCCAGGCCCUCCUCUGGGAGCUGUGAGGAGCAAACCACCUUUCAAGGACAGUCGUCUCCUGAUCUGCUGGCCUCACUCCACCUGAAUAAUAAAACCUACACUUUGAAACAAGCUCUCACCUUCAGAAAAUGCUGAUGGAUGUGAGGGGUGGGACAGAGAGGGGCCAGGAUGACACCCAGGUCUCAGCCUGAGCAACCAGAGGGUGGGCUGUGGACAGGCACCUGUGGAUGAAUGCCCGUGGACGGGCGUGGGGCACAGGUGUGGGAGGAACUCGGAAGCUCAGCCAUGGACUGGACAGGUUGAAGUAUGUGUCCGACCCUGCUGUGGGCUGAACUGUGCCCCCGCAUUCACAUGUCGCAGCCUGACCCCAAGGGGAAGUGGUCUUUGGGAGGUGCUUAAGGUGAAACGAGAUCACGAUGGGGGUCCUCAAGAUAGGAUCCACACCCUCCUGAGCCCCCACAGGGGCCAUCUCUCGCCUCCCGCAUGGGAGGACCAGCGCCAGGGCGGCUGGCUGGCUGCAGGCCGGAGGAGGCUCUCCCCAGAACCCAGGGCCAGUACCCUGCUCCCAGACUUGCAGCCUCCGGAGCCAUGAGAAGUCAGUCCCUUGGUUAAGGCCCCAUCUGUGGUGUUUUCUGUGGCCGCUGGAGCUAACUAACGCAGACCCCCAAGUGGCACUGACGUCGGACGUGUGAAUGUGGAGCUCAGGAACGAGGUCCAGCUGCAGACACAAGUCCAGCAUCACCCAUGUGGAGCUGCUCGUAAAAGCCCAGGACCAAGGAGAGCGGGGUGGGGCCAGGGGGCACUGUGGAAAGCACAUUCGGAGGUGGAUCAGGCCAGGAGACACCACCGGCCAGGACAGGGGCUGGACAGGAAGCCUGAGGGAAAGCAAGGUGACCGUGGCAUCUGGAAGCCCAAGGAGAAAGGUUUCUCUCAGGUCUCACUCACGUGUCACCUUGAGGGCCUGUCUGCUGGGUGGGGAUGGCACCGUGCCAUCACAGGCACGGCAUGAUGCUGUGCAGACUCACGUGUCGCCGCCACGGCCGUCUACAGCGGAGGUGCUAGGAAGAAUCAGCGCCCUACGUGGAACUGGUCGCCUGUAACAGGGACUUCUCACAGGUGGUGUCCUGGCCCCUGCGAGCUCGGGGAAGGGGACAGGCCCUGGAAGUCACCCUGGUGCCCUAGAAUGGCCUCCGUGUUCUGUUAGCCGGGGAAGCCGAGAAGCACGGUCCCAGCCAACAUGCUGAUGUUCGGGCCUGUGAACGAUCCACAGAAGAGAGAGCUCCUCUGGGGGCCGAUAAACACCAAGAGCCUGCAAGUCUCAUUAAGAAGCCACAUAAUGCCAACUCUUUAGGGUAUAAAAGCAACAUUUUCUUCAUGUUUCCACAUUUGAUAGGGCACUUAAAACGAAGUUGAGCACAGGGAAAAUGACCCUUCCCUGUGUUCUAGAUAAAACCCGCCCAGAUGUGUAAUAACUUUCAGCUGGCUGACAUUUAUCAGUGUUGUAUUUUGACACGUUGAAGUAUCCAAGUAGGUGCUUUCUGUCUCCAAAUUGGCUCAGUGUUGAGCCGACUGAGGAAGCAACACGGGCACCCUUCAUGGCGCUCACUCUGCUUUCUCCUGCAGACGCGUCCGCCCGCACGACCCCCUCUUGCCCAGGUACGCGGCUGUUCCCUGCUCUGGGGGGUAACCCGGUGAAGGACAUGGACACCGCAGCCCAGACUCCUCCCUCGGCAGAGCCUCUGAAGACGGGGUGACAGCAAGUGACCAGAGCUGCUGCACUCCCCGCCGGGGUGUUGCUGCCACAGUGGGCAAGACAGACCCCGAAGGGGCAGAAAUGGGUCUGGGCAGCACCCCAAACUCUCCUAAACCACGGUUUUGGGGGGACUCCUGAGAACAGAAAGCAUGGGCGGCAAAGUGGCCUUUUUAUGACAAAUUUGUACAGAAGGCUCAUCGAGGCUCAUCAAGCAGGAGCAACAAGAGUGAAGAGGCCACGGUAAGACCAGGUUGGCAUCAGCGAUGCCGCCAGAGCCACCGCAGGGCCGGGAACAGAGCACCCGUGGGGCGGGCCUUCCUCCGGAAGCCGUCCGUCCUUCGCAGAGGCGGGCCAGGCGGCUCUCUGGAAGUGUGCGUUUUGGCCCAGCUCCUCCUUCAGGAUGAUCAGAGAGCUGCUGCCACCAAGGCAAUGACCGCUCAGCCACCUGGACGGGAGCCCUGAGCACCAGCCUCCGUGGCAGGGUGGAGCGAGGCCAGGGGCGCACAUGAAGCUCACACAGGCUGCAUGCGAUCUUUAACACCUAUUCAUGGAUUUUGCAGAAAUUGCCCAAGAUUAGCUGGCUGUAGUGGGCUGGGUUGUGUCCCCAAAAAACACGUGUCCAAGUCCUGAGCCCUGGAACCUGUGACUGUGACCUUAUCUGAAGACGUGGUCUUUGCAGAGGUGAUUAAGGUAAGAGCUGCAGACGGGGUCAUCCUGAAUUAGAGAGGCCUUAAAUCCAGGGACUGAUGUCCUCACAAGAGAGAGAAGAGGGUGGUUGGAGGCCCCCAGACGCUGCUCUAUGUCUAUUAAAGAAAUCUAAUUUAAGUUAAAAACACUCCCAGAAAGAAAACCACACACCCAGAUGGCUUCACGGGAAAUACCACCAAACAUUUAAAGAAGAAAUAAUUCAAUUCUACACAAACCCUUCCAGAAAUUUCCAGUGAAGAGAGUGAUCCUGGCUUAUUCUGCAAGGCUAAUACUGCUGAGAGCAAAACCAAACACAGAUGUUACAAGAAAAGAAACUACCAGGCUAGACUCCUCGUGAGCACAGAGGCAAACACUCUUUAAAAAUGUUUGCGAAUAGAAUCCAACAUGUGAAGAAAGGAUCAUCCGUCACACCCACGUGUCAAAGACAGGUGUGUCCUUCCCGCCUCUUCUCUUUAAAAGUUUCCCCAAGAUGCUAGCUGGUAAAAUCAGGCAAGAAAAGAAACAAAGGACCCCAGAUCUGAAAGGAAGAAGUAAAACUCGCAUUGCAGACAGCAUGGUUUUCUACCCAGGAAAUACAGAACCUAUGAGAAAGCCGUUAGAACUUGCAAGUGAAUCUAGUAAGAUGUCAGGACAGGAAAUCUAUACUAGAAAUAGUUUACAUUUGUAUAUACCAGCAACGAACCAUCCAAAAUGGACAUGUCUGAAAGUACCAUGUACAAUAGCACCAAAAUAUUCAUUUAAUUAAUUAAGUCUGACAAAAGAUGUACAAGAUUUGUACACUGAAAACUAUAGAACAUUGUUGAGAGAAAGCAAAGAAAACCUAAAUAAAUGGAGAGAUGUACCCUAUUUGUGGAUCAAAAGACUUAACACUGUUAACAUGUUAUUUCUUCCAUCCCAACAAAAUGGCAGAAGGAUUUUUCCCGUGGAAAUUCACAAGCUGAUUCUAAGAUCCAUAUAGAAACGGAAAGGAUCGAGAAUAGUUGCAAAAGCUUUCAAAAAGAAAAACUAACUUUGAGGACCAAUGCUGUCUGAUUUCAAGACAUAUUAUGAAGUUAUAGUAAUCAGGUUGGGGGAGAACUGGCAUCCAAGUGGAUAAAUCGGUCAAUGGGACAGAACAGACAGUGGAGACAGAAGGACACAUAUGCAGUCCAUCAAUUUUUGACAAGGGUACAGAGGUAAUCUGUGGAGAAAGGAUAGUCUUUACAACAAACGGUCUGGAACAACUGUAUAUCCAUAGGCAAAAAAUAAAAAGCCUUUCAUCUAUACCUAACAUCAUAUAAAAAAUUAGCUCCCAAGAAUAAUAGACCUAAAUGUAAAAUAUGAAAUUAUAAAACUUCUAGGAGAAAAUGUUUGUUGGGGCCAGCCAGGUGGCAUAGUGGUUAAGUUCCCUCCCUCUGCUUCGGUGGUUUGGGGUUUGUGGGUUUGGUUCCUGGGUGCACAUCUACACACCACUCAUCAAGCCAUGCUGUGGUGGCGUCCCACAUACAAAAUAGAUGAAGACUGGCACAGAUGUUAGCUCAGAGACAAUCUUUCUCAAGCAAAAGGAGGAAGAUUAGCUACAGAUGUUACAUCAGGGCCAAUCUUUCUCACCAAAAGAAACAGAAAAAAAGGAAGAAGAAGAAAAUAUUUGUGACCUUGAAUUAAGCAAGGAUUUUUAAGAUAUAACUCUAAAAGCACAAUUCAUUUUAAAAAUGAUAGAUUAAAAACAACCAUAAAAGGCAGAACUAAAAGUAAAUAUCCUGCUAUACGAUCAAGUGGGGGCUUGUCCAGAAAAACAAGGUUGGUAUAAGAUUGGAAUAUCAAUCAGUUCAAUUCAACAUAUUAACAGGAUUAAGGAGAAAAACUAUAUGACAGGUUUUUGACAAAAUAACAAAAAUUCCCAGCAAACUAAGAAUAGAAGGGAACUUCCCCAACCUUAUUAAAGAUGUCUAUGAGAAACCCAGCACCAUUUACCACAGCACUGAAACAAAAUACUUAGGGACAGAAUUUUUAAAAACAUAGGUAAGACCUAUAAAUUACAAGUAGAUACUUCUACAACAGGAUAUAGGAAGCAUGAUCCAUAAAAGAAAUAUGUUGAUAAAUUGGACUUCAUCAAAAUUUAAAACAUCUGCCCCUUGAAAAGAUGCUAUUGAUGCUUAACAAACCAUGACAACACUUAGUGACUGAAAAUCACAACGAUUUAUUGUUUCUCAUGAUUUUGUUGGUUUCCUAGAAGGUUUGUCCACUGCACCUGCUGGGGACCCUCAUUCCACUGCAUCCAACCUGAGGGUGGAACAUCCACCUUGCGCAGGAACGGCCAGCACGGCCUGUCAUCCCCCACACUCUGUCUUCACACAACCUCCACAAGAUCAACACGGCCAACAGCGCUCCUCCAUAUGAGCCAUGAACAAUUAGAAAAAGUAACAAAAAUGUAAGAUUAUUUUACCAUGGCAAAAGUAUAACCUCUCCAGGAAUUAAUCUAAUAAUAACGUGGAAUCAUUAUGUAGAACAAUUUUAAACACUUUCAAAGAAUGUAAAACAAGACCUAAUAAAUAGAAGAAUAACUAUGUUGGUGAAAAACAA
Equus caballus (horse) is the source of this 6073-nucleotide long non-coding RNA. The record is from Ensembl. Lineage: Eukaryota; Metazoa; Chordata; Mammalia; Perissodactyla; Equidae.